UCUCCGGCCGGCCGGAGAGAAAUCGGGAGGACGAAUGGCACAAUCUGAUAAGGGGAUGCCCCAAAUUGGCAUGAUAUUCAAAAGUAAAGAGGAAGCUUGGCUUUUUUGGGCAGCAUAUGGAGGACGUGUAGGCUUUGAAGUGAGGAAGAGGAAAACUACAAUCUCAACUUCAGUUUUACCAAACUCCUCACAGCUUCUACUUGUGAUGAUGAUAGUUUUUAUGGUGAAAAUAUGUUAUAAUAUCUAGAUGUUGGUUACAUGGUACUUU
This is a long non-coding RNA of Lolium rigidum, 268 nucleotides long. RefSeq lists it as uncharacterized. The record is from RefSeq and is a predicted model, not a curated record. NCBI's taxonomy places the organism in Eukaryota, Viridiplantae, Streptophyta, Magnoliopsida, Poales, Poaceae. The transcript is spliced from 3 exons.